RNAcentral lists this ribosomal RNA (403 nucleotides) under uncultured bacterium. RNAcentral's name for it is "partial 16S ribosomal RNA". It matches the Rfam family "Bacterial small subunit ribosomal RNA", at positions 30 to 526 of the family's 1533-position model. The record is from RNAcentral.
AUUGAACGCUGGCGGCAGGCCUAACACAUGCAAGUCGAGCGAGGGGCGGACGGGUGAGGAAUGUAUGGGGACUGCCCGAUAGAGGGGGAUAACUACUAGAAACGGUAGCUAAUACCGCAUAAUAUCGGAUAAACCAUGUGGGAUUAGCUAGUAGGUGAGGUAAUGGCUCACCUAGGCGACGAUCAAUAGCUGGUCUGAGAGGAUGAUCAGCACCACUGGGACUGAGACACGGCCCAGACUCCUACGGAGGAAGCAGUGGGGAAUAUUGCACCAUGGGCGCAAGGCUGAUGCAGCCAUGCCGCGUGUAUGAAGAAGGCCCUAGGGUUUUAAAGUACUUUCAGUCGGGAGGCGUUACCGACAGAAGAAGCACCGGCUAACUCCGUGCCAGCCGCCGCGGUAAUUC